This is a long non-coding RNA of Ostrea edulis (European flat oyster), 294 nucleotides long. RefSeq lists it as uncharacterized. The transcript is spliced from 3 exons. The record is from RefSeq and is a predicted model, not a curated record. NCBI's taxonomy places the organism in Eukaryota, Metazoa, Mollusca, Bivalvia, Ostreida, Ostreidae.
UGGGAAAGCGGGACGAUAGACCAAACAUAUCUACGAAGAGACCGUUGGUGCCGGAAAUAUCUCUGUCUUUAGUAGUGUCCGCGAGGUAUAUUAAUUUAUAAAACAUGAGAUAUUAGUACCAUAUUGCCCGGGAAUCAAAAGAUUUUUGCAAGAUCGCAGAAUUCAGCUAGACACAAAAAAAAAGACAAUCACUACAGCCUUCCAAGAAGAUGGACUGCCUCACAAUAGUUUCCUUGAGGACUGUCUUGAAAUAUCCAGAGUUUAAGAUUCAAGAAACGGACUCUAUCUGGAAAA